RNAcentral lists this ribosomal RNA (439 nucleotides) under uncultured soil bacterium. Its description in RNAcentral is "bacterial SSU rRNA". It matches the Rfam family "Bacterial small subunit ribosomal RNA", at positions 8 to 495 of the family's 1533-position model. The record is from RNAcentral.
AGAGUUUGAUCCUGGCUCAGAGCGAACGCUGGCGGCAGGCCUAACACAUGCAAGUCGAGCGCCGUAGCAAUACGGAGCGGCAGACGGGAGAGUAACACGUGGGAACGUACCCUUUGGUUCGGAACAACCCAGGGAAACUUGGGCUAAUACCGGAUAAGCCCUUACGGGGAAAGAUUCAUCGCCGAAGGAUCGGCCCGCGUCUGAUUAGCUAGUUGGUGGGGUAAUGGCCCACCAAGGCGACGAUCAGUAGCUGGUCUGAGAGGAUGAUCAGCCUCACUGGGACUGAGACACGGCCCAGACUCCUACGGGAGGCAGCAGUGGGGAAUAUUGGACAAUGGGCGCAAGCCUGAUCCAGCCAUGCCGCGUGGGUGAUGAAGGCCCUAGGGUUGUAAAGCCCUUUCGGCGGGGAAGAUAAUGACGUACCCGCAGAAGAGCCCCG